RNAcentral lists this small RNA (730 nucleotides) under Arabidopsis thaliana (thale cress). Its description in RNAcentral is "ATSL048620". Lineage: Eukaryota; Viridiplantae; Streptophyta; Magnoliopsida; Brassicales; Brassicaceae. The record is from RNAcentral.
AUAAAAUCAUCAUUAUAAAAAAAGAAUUAGAUUUUUCGCAUAUGCCAUAAUUUGAAUUUUUAAAAACGAAUAUAAAUUGUUCAAUACAUAAAAAAAUAUUAUAACGGGUGAAAAAUAGAUUUAAGAAAACUUUCUACUGAGUAACAGGUCAUAAUUUGAAAUAUUUAUAUUCAAUUUCAUACAUAUUAUAUUGAAAAUUUAUAAUCUUAUAUACUACAAUAAUUAAUAACAUAUUAGAUUUUUUUAUGUGUAUGAUGUGAUUCAAUUUUUAAUACAAGGUGGAAAAUCCUAUAAUUUACGGGUUUAGAUCGAUAUUAAUACAAGAUGGUAUACUACAGGUAAAACUCUUAAAUUAACAAUCAAACUAUAAAUGUAUAAUCUUAAACACUAAACAAUAUAGAUAAUAUCAACAAAACAUAUACAACUCACAGUUUACUAUACAUUUAUAAACAAAUAAAAUAAUAUCAUAUAUUUUUAAAUCAUCUUUACAGUAAAAGUUUUUAGUUUAACUAAAAUAUAAGCGUACAUGCGGUAUACUGCAGGUUAAUAUCUAGAUUAUAGGGCUUAUUGGAUCUAAAAACGGGUCAUCAAAGAUUUCCUAAACUGAAGCAAAAUAUACUGAAUAUUCGAAUAUCUAUCUGUUACCAAAUUAUAAACAAAUAAGUUCGUAAAACAAUUUAAUAAUUUUAUAUACGAAAUCAAUUAAAUCUUAAUCACAUAAAAAUUAGCA